This 295-nucleotide unclassified non-coding RNA is filed under the name fungal sp. Its description in RNAcentral is "partial contains 5.8S ribosomal RNA, internal transcribed spacer 2, and large subunit ribosomal RNA". The record is from RNAcentral. Lineage: Eukaryota; Fungi.
CGCACCUUGCGCUCCUUGGUAUUCCGAGGAGCAUGCCUGUUUGAGUGUCUUGAAGUCAUCAACCCCUCCGGUUUUUCGAAACGGGAGACGGUUGGAUAUGGGGGUUUGCUGCCGAAAGGCUGCUCCCCUCAAAUGCGUCGGUUGGACCUGUGGGUCGAACUCGUUGGGCGUUGUAUCAUCCUCGCUCUGACAGAGAUGUUCCCCUUUGGUUGUCCUUCCCCGACUUGCCGACAGAGUGGCAGUCAACUCUUUGAAAUCUGACCUCAAAUCAGGUAGGACUACCCGCUGAACUUAA